This is a long non-coding RNA of Suricata suricatta (meerkat), 495 nucleotides long. RefSeq lists it as uncharacterized. The record is from RefSeq and is a predicted model, not a curated record. The transcript is spliced from 2 exons. Lineage: Eukaryota; Metazoa; Chordata; Mammalia; Carnivora; Herpestidae.
CACACACAUGCUUGGGCCACACACAAGCCUCCCCAGUCUCCCCAGGUCCAGACGAGGAGCGGGAAUGGAGGGGGGAGCCCGCGGGGAUGGGGACACAGUGAGUCUCUCCCUGUGCAGGCCCCACUCCACCCUACGCCACACCACAGACAACGGAGGAAAGGGUCCAGGUGAGCUUCAGACCACGUCUGAGCCAGCCACACCCAUGGAACACAAAGAAGUCUCUCAUUACAGAAAAGGAAAUCUGACCCAGCGAUUCCCCUGCUUAAAACACCUUUCAGUGACGCGUUUGGCAGGAGGCGGUGGAGGCAGUGAGCAUUUGGAUCCAGGGAACAUUCCACGUUCUAGAACAAUCAUCUGUUUAUUGAUUGAUUUAGCAAGCAUUUAAUUACCACUUCCUGUGUGCUCCGCACAUGUUACUUCAUCUUCGCAGCAAGCUUUUAGGACCGUGUAUUUGUUCUGCUUUAUUAUGAACCACCCCAACCUUAGUGGCUUCAA